AACGAACGCUGGCGGCAUGCCUAACACAUGCCAGUCGAACGAGACCUUCGGGUCUAGUGGCGCACGGGUGCGUAACGCGUGGGAACCUGCCCUUAGGUUCGGAAUAACUCCCCGAAAGGGGUGCUAAUACCGGAUAAUGUCUUCGGACCAAAGAUUUAUCGCCUUUGGAUGGGCCCGCGUUGGAUUAGCUAGUUGGUAGGGUAAAAGCCUACCAAGGCGACGAUCCAUAGCUGGUCUGAGAGGAUGAUCAGCCACACUGGGAAUGAGACACGGCCCAGACUCCUACGGGAGGCAGCAGUGGGGAAUAUUGGACAAUGGGCGAAAGCCUGAUCCAGCAAUGCCGCGUGAGUGAUGAAGGCCUUAGGGUUGUAAAGCUCUUUUACCAGGGAUGAUAAUGACAGUACCGGGAGAAUAAGCACCGGCUAACUACGUG
Molecule: ribosomal RNA, 433 nt
Filed under: uncultured bacterium
Lineage: Bacteria
Description: partial 16S ribosomal RNA
Rfam family: Bacterial small subunit ribosomal RNA
Source: RNAcentral